AUAUAAUAACUUUAUUGAAAUAAUGUUUAGAAACAUAAAAAAGUUGCUUAGGCGUUGUUAUUCUCUAUAUAAAAUAAUUAUUAGGAAAAACUUCAAAUACCAUCACUGUGAUUUUGCGUUUUCUCAUUUUAAUAUCCAGUGGUUUGAAAUGUAUUACUUUAGUAUCAUCUGGUUUCGUUUUUCUCUUUCCGUUAUUCCCUCCAUUUAUAAUUUUUUUGUUAUAUCAGUGAUAAAGUUAGAACUAUUGGAUAGCAAAAAUAAAAUUUCAGUAAAUCACAGGAUACUAAAGCAAAUAUUCAAUAAAUUAAGUAUAGGUGCGGUAUCUGAAGUUUUCUUUUGUAUGAUUUAACGGAGAGUUAAUGGAGAUGCUGACGGAAAGAUAAAAAUAAAACCAUAAGAUACUAAACUGAUACGCUUUAAACUAUAGAGUAAUAAAGUGAAAAUAUUUGAAAUUACAGGAGCGGUAUUUAAAGUUUAUCCUAAUUAUUAUAUAGAAAACCUUUUUAAUUAAAUAAUGAGAAGU
This 523-nucleotide long non-coding RNA is filed under the name Ananas comosus (pineapple). Its description in RNAcentral is "long non-coding RNA (ACOM_LNC024093)". Lineage: Eukaryota; Viridiplantae; Streptophyta; Magnoliopsida; Poales; Bromeliaceae. The record is from RNAcentral.